GACGAACGCUGGCGGCGUGCUUAACACAUGCAAGUCGAACGGAAAGGCCCUGCUUGCAGGGUACUCGAGUGGCGAACGGGUGAGUAACACGUGGGUGAUCUGCCCUGCACUUCGGGAUAAGCCUGGGAAACUGGGUCUAAUACCGGAUAUGACCUUCCAUGUAGUGUGGGGGGUGGAAAGAUUUAUCGGUGUGGGAUGAGCCCGCGGCCUAUCAGCUUGUUGGUGGGGUAAUGGCCUGCCAAGGCGUCGACGGGUAGCCGGCCUGAGAGGGUGGACGGCCACAUUGGGACUGAGAUACGGCCCAGACUCCUACGGGAGGCAGCAGUGGGGAAUAUUGCACAAUGGGCGGAAGCCUGAUGCAGCGACGCCGCGUGGGGGAUGACGGCCUUCGGGUUGUAAACCUCUUUCGACAGGGACGAAGCUUCGGUGACGGUACCUGUAUAAGAAGCACCGGCUAACUACGUG
RNAcentral lists this ribosomal RNA (465 nucleotides) under uncultured bacterium. RNAcentral describes it as "partial 16S ribosomal RNA". It matches the Rfam family "Bacterial small subunit ribosomal RNA", at positions 28 to 507 of the family's 1533-position model. The record is from RNAcentral.